Vespula vulgaris is the source of this 367-nucleotide long non-coding RNA. RefSeq lists it as uncharacterized. The record is from RefSeq and is a predicted model, not a curated record. Lineage: Eukaryota; Metazoa; Arthropoda; Insecta; Hymenoptera; Vespidae. The transcript is spliced from 3 exons.
CUCCAAGUAAGUAAUACUCUCCUGUUAAGAAUCUACAACUCUGGAGUUUGCAAAAAUUUUUCCGUAGAUCCAGAUUUGUAAUAGGAUAACAUGAUAGUACUAGAGGUGGCACGAGCACACGUGCCACCUUCAGGUAAGUAAUACUCUCCUGUUACUAAUUUACAUUUCUGGAGUUUGCAAACAUUUUCCCGUAGAUCCAGAUUUGUAAUAGGAUAACAUGAUAGUACUAGAGGUGGCACGAGCACACGUGCCACCUUCAGGUAAGUUAUACUCUCCUGUUACUAAUUUACAUUUCUGGAGUUUGCAAACAUUUUCCCGUAGCUCCAGAUUUGUAAUAGGAUAACAUGAUAGUACUAGAGGUGGCACG